RNAcentral lists this ribosomal RNA (405 nucleotides) under uncultured bacterium. Its description in RNAcentral is "partial 16S ribosomal RNA". It matches the Rfam family "Bacterial small subunit ribosomal RNA", at positions 30 to 526 of the family's 1533-position model. The record is from RNAcentral.
AUUGAACGCUGGCGGCAGGCCUAACACAUGCAAGUCGAACGAGUGGCGGACGGGUGAGUAAUGUCUGGGAAACUGCCUGAUGGAGGGGGAUAACUACUGGAAACGGUAGCUAAUACCGCAUACCAUGGGAUGUGCCCAGAUGGGAUUAGCUAGUAGGUGGGGUAAAGGUACACCUAGGCGACGAUCCCUAGCUGGUCUGCGAGGCUGACCAGCCACACUGGAAUUGAGACACGCGCCAGACUCCUACGGGAGGCAGCAGUGGGAAAUAUUGGACAAUGGGCGCAAGCCUGAUGCACCCAUGCCGCGUGUAGGAAGAAGGCCUUCGGGUUGUAAAGUACUUUCAGCGGGGAGGCGUUACCCGCAGAAGAAGCACCGGCUAACUCCGGGCCAGCAGCCGCGUAAUAC